CUGCUGAGCCUUGAAAUGGCCAGCACUUUAUCCUGAUCGCCUUAGAUAUUGUUUCGAGUCAAUCAUCUGUCAUGGAUUUCUGCCAUCUGCCAAGUCCCCAGACUGAUUCCACCUCCUCCAGAAAGGCUUCCCUGACUACCUGGAUCCACAGACCAGACGCACAGUAGGGAGCUGUGCCAUCGCCUCCAGAAGUCACAGGUUCACUGGGGCCUCUGCCUCCUGCUUCCAACACUGAUGAUCAAGCGUCGCCAUGAGCCUCCUGGAUGGUCACUACCUUCUGGAGCUUGUCCAUGACUACUAGUGGGAGUGCCUUAUGGACCACUCCAGGGGCAGUGUGGCCAGACUCCCCUAUGGAGAGAUGCAGACUCAGAAGGUCCCCAGAAUACCCUUCUUAAUCUGCUCACUUCCCCAUUCUCAUCUGGACCCAAGUUAGAAUGCAA
RNAcentral lists this long non-coding RNA (440 nucleotides) under Equus asinus (donkey). Its description in RNAcentral is "lncRNA (ENSEASG00005030600.1)". The record is from RNAcentral. Lineage: Eukaryota; Metazoa; Chordata; Mammalia; Perissodactyla; Equidae.